CCUACGGGAGGCAGCAGUGAGGAAUAUUGGUCAAUGGACGAGAGUCUGAACCAGCCAAGUAGCGUGAAGGAUGACUGCCCUAUGGGUUGUAAACCUCUUUUAUAUGGGAAUAAAACAGGGUAUGCAUACACUCAUGUAUGUACCAUAUGAAUAAGGAUCGGCUAACUCCGUGCCAGCAGCCGCGGUAAUACGGAGGAGCCGAGCGUUAUCCGGAUUUAUUGGGUUUAAAGGGAGCGUAGGUGGAUUGUUAAGUCAGUUGUGAAAGUAUGCGGCUCAACCGUAAAAUUGCAGUUGAAACUGGCAGUCUUGAGUACAGUAGAGGUGGGCGGAAUUCGUGGUGUAGCGGUGAAAUGCGUAGAUAUCACGAAGAACUCCGAUUGCGAAGGCAGCUCACUGGACUGCAACUGACACUGAUGCUCGAAAGUGUGGGUAGCAAACAGGAUUAGAUACCCGGGUAGUC
RNAcentral lists this ribosomal RNA (460 nucleotides) under uncultured bacterium. RNAcentral describes it as "partial 16S ribosomal RNA". It matches the Rfam family "Bacterial small subunit ribosomal RNA", at positions 338 to 795 of the family's 1533-position model. The record is from RNAcentral.